This 399-nucleotide transfer-messenger RNA is filed under the name Bacteroidales. RNAcentral's name for it is "Phil12 sp017934545 Standard tmRNA". It matches the Rfam family "transfer-messenger RNA". Rfam says of the family: Bacterial tmRNA, also known as 10Sa RNA or SsrA, is named for its dual tRNA and mRNA-like properties. Its role is to liberate the mRNA from a stalled ribosome. The record is from RNAcentral. RNAcentral also lists the same sequence under 1 other name. Lineage: Bacteria; Pseudomonadati; Bacteroidota; Bacteroidia.
GGGGUUGGGUUGGUUUUGACAGCAAGGUAAAGGCUCAAGCAAGCACGCAGUUAUACGCAACAGAUAACUUUAAACCCGGUUGCAAAAAAUUAAUUGGCGAAAAUACUUACGCUCUUGCUGCGUAACCGAAGUACAGUAAGUUACUCUUUAUCAGCACAAGGUGUUGAGCAAGACGCUCCUCCGACGGUUAGAAACUCUUGGCUAAGGAUUAAAGGGGUGCAUCAUUCAAAGAGUUUAGUCUGCGGUUUUCUUCGCACUGCGGAUGAAAAUUGAGAAGAUAAGAUAAAUUUCAGCGAGUCUGUCCGCAGGGUUUAUCCGACAAUUUAAGGCAGAAUAAGCGUGUAGAAAACUUCGGUUUUUCUUGUUUGGACCAGGGUUCGAAUCCCUGCAGCUCCACCA